This 1537-nucleotide ribosomal RNA is filed under the name Betaproteobacteria bacterium. RNAcentral's name for it is "bacterial SSU rRNA". It matches the Rfam family "Bacterial small subunit ribosomal RNA". Lineage: Bacteria; Pseudomonadati; Pseudomonadota; Betaproteobacteria. The record is from RNAcentral.
UGAAGAGUUUGAUCCUGGCUCAGAUUGAACGCUGGCGGCAUGCCUUACACAUGCAAGUCGAACGGCAGCACGGGUGCUUGCACCUGGUGGCGAGUGGCGAACGGGUGAGUAGAGCAUCGGAACAUGCCCAGAUAUGGGGGAUAGCCCGGCGAAAGCCGGAUUAAUACCGCAUAAUGCCUGAGGGAGAAAGCGGGGGACUCGUAAGGGCCUCGCGUAUUUGGAGUGGCCGAUGUCGGAUUAGCUGGUUGGUGGGGUAAAGGCCUACCAAGGCGACGAUCCGUAGCGGGUCUGAGAGGACGAUCCGCCACACUGGAACUGAGACACGGUCCAGACUCCUACGGGAGGCAGCAGUGGGGAAUUUUGGACAAUGGGGGCAACCCUGAUCCAGCCAUGCCGCGUGAGUGAAGAAGGCCUUCGGGUUGUAAAGCUCUUUCGGUGGGGAAGAAAUGGUCGUGGUAAAUAAUCGCGAUUGAUGACGGUACCCAAAUAAGAAGCACCGGCUAACUACGUGCCAGCAGCCGCGGUAAUACGUAGGGUGCGAGCGUUAAUCGGAAUUACUGGGCGUAAAGGGUGCGCAGGCGGCCUUGUAAGACAAGCGUGAAAUCCCUAGGCUCAACCUGGGAAUGGCGCUAGUGACUGCAAAGCUGGAGUACGGCAGAGGGAGGUAGAAUUCCACGUGUAGCAGUGAAAUGCGUAGAGAUGUGGAGGAAUACCGAUGGCGAAGGCAGCCUCCUGGGCUGAUACUGACGCUCAAGCACGAAAGCGUGGGGAGCAAACAGGAUUAGAUACCCUGGUAGUCCACGCCCUAAACGAUGUCAACUAGUUGUUGGCAGGGUAAAACCUGUAAGUAACGAAGCAAACGCGAGAAGUUGACCGCCUGGGGAGUACGGCCGCAAGGUUAAAACUCAAAGGAAUUGACGGGGACCCGCACAAGCGGUGGAUGAUGUGGAUUAAUUCGAUGCAACGCGAAAAACCUUACCUACCCUUGACAUGUCCGAGAUCUCUGAGAGAUUGGGGAGUGCCGCAAGGAAUCGGAACACAGGUGCUGCAUGGCUGUCGUCAGCUCGUGUCGUGAGAUGUUGGGUUAAGUCCCGCAACGAGCGCAACCCUUGUUGCUAAUUGCCAUCAUUAAGUUGGGCACUUUAGCGAGACUGCCGGUGACAAACCGGAGGAAGGUGGGGAUGACGUCAAGUCCUCAUGGCCCUUAUGGGUAGGGCUUCACACGUCAUACAAUGGUCGGUACAGAGGGAAGCGAAAUUGCGAGAUGGAGCGAAUCCUUGAAAAGCCGAUCGUAGUCCGGAUUGGAGUCUGCAACUCGACUCCAUGAAGUCGGAAUCGCUAGUAAUCGCGGAUCAGCAUGUCGCGGUGAAUACGUUCCCGGGUCUUGUACACACCGCCCGUCACACCAUGGGAGUGGGUUUCACCAGAAGCGGGCAGCCUAACCGCAAGGAGGGCGCUUGCCACGGUGGGAUUCAUGACUGGGGUGAAGUCGUAACAAGGUAGCCGUAUCGGAAGGUGCGGCUGGAUCACCUCCUUU